CUGAUAGGACAUUUUGCUGAGAACAGACAUGUGAUUUUCUGGAAGCUGCCUGGUGAAAGGCCAUGCGAUGUUUUGCUAGAGCAGACACUUGAGAGGAACUGUUAUGUUUGGAAAGAGUCGAAGUGCGACGCAGCAGACAAUGGACAACACUCUGGCAUCGGUUCACCUUGCAACUCUUUGCUGAUCUUUCCCUGUCGUGCCUUCACAGAGAGGAACGCACCAGAGAACUCCUGGUGGUUUUCUAGCUGCUCCUUACUGCAUCAGUGGACUCAUGGUGAUCAGCAGAGCCUCAGGGUUUCUUCUGGAUUGAGCCACUGCUGCUGAUUUGUGCUUUGCUAAUGGACUGGACUGCUAACAAUGAAUAUUAGCAUCAACCCAAAGAACUUCAUGAGCAGUGUAUCCUCAUGGUUUCUUCUGGAUAGAUCAGCUGCUACUGGCUCAUGUUUGGUGUUUGCCAAGUGGACUGGACUGCCGAAUACGAAGGUUAAGGUUGACCCAAAGAACUAUUUCUAAAUAGGUCCUCAGCCCCCGUUUCCUAUUAACUUUUCUCUCCCCAUACCUCUGGUUGGUGGUGGGCUGCAAGGGAGGUUGAAGUGUUGAAGAACCAUCAUUAAAGUAGGUUUUGAAAAACGUAAGCCUAGGGGUUGGGGAUUUGACUCAGUGGUAGAGCGCUUGCCUAGCAAGUGCAAGGCCCUGGGUUCGGUCCCCAGCUCCGAAAAAAAAAAAAAAGAAAAAGAAAAAGAAAGAAAAAGAAAAAUGUAAGC
Molecule: long non-coding RNA, 764 nt
Filed under: Rattus norvegicus (Norway rat)
Lineage: Eukaryota; Metazoa; Chordata; Mammalia; Rodentia; Muridae
Description: long non-coding RNA NONRATT000600
Source: RNAcentral